UGCCGUAGCACACUGCCACACCUUGAGGCUGGAAACCACACAUAUGUAUCCUCUCACAGUGCUGCAAAGGCCCAGGAGGGCUGGCUCCUUCUGGAGUCUCAGAGGGAGAAACCCUUCUGGUCUCUCUCCAGGGGAGAGGUGGUGGGGCUGGCAGAUCUUGGCACUCCAUGGCUUUCAGACAUGUCACUCCAACCUCUGCCUGUUUUCACGGGGAGCUCUCUCUAUGGUCUGUGGGUGCCCAUUUCCCUCCUCCUGCAAGCAGCUAGGGUAGGGUCCAUCCUAAUCCCACACGAGCUCCUCCCCACACUGUGCCAGCUUCAAAGACCCAUUUCCCACACGAGCUCACCUUCAUAGGAUCUGGGGCUUAGGUCUUCCAGCUUCCUUCCAAGGGGACCCGCUCCCACCCAGCUCUGAGGUAUUACCAAAUGUUCAUCCCUGCCCUUCAGAGAACCCCUGGGCAUGAUAAAGUUGGUUGAGUUCAGGCCCCGUCCAGCCCUACCGGUUGUCUGAAGCCAGUGCUGAUCCCUGAAGUCACUUUCUCAUCUUGAUUAGAGGUCCCUGAGGCUUGCUCAUUGGCAGGGCAAGGGGUCAGGGAGGUGGUGAAGGAAGGGGAGGAUGGUGGUGUCAUAAGGGUUACCAUGUUUCCCAAGCCAGAUCCCACUUGAAGGGGGCUCUGCUGCCUCUUGUGGCUGCAGAGUGGAGCCAUGUUACAUGGCAAUUUAGAGCCCAAAGGUCUGCAAAGCAAAUAUCACAUCAAGUGAACAUUAUACUGGAAAAGGACCUCAGUGGUAAAGCCAACAAUUGGUCUCUUUUGUUUGCCUCUGUACUUGGGCCAAGGUUUCCCAGGGCAGGGGUACUUGGGGUCUCGGCCCAGCUGUGGUGUGUGUCUGAAGAGUUCGAGUCUCUGUGCUUGCACCUGCACCCUGAUCCCCCAGCUGUCCCUCCACAAGAGCCAGCCCUGCACAUGACUUCACAAUGGUGCCCAGAGCCACACAGCACUGUAGAGACUCACACCUCUGGCCUCCUUUCCCUGACCCAAGCCUCCGUCUUCCCUGCAGCAGAAGCCUGUAUGUGAACAAAUCUGAAACCGAGAUUCGAGGAACAUGGCAUUCCCUUGUUGAGAAGCCUUCUCAGCCAUGGAGAGAAGUUCACUUUCAGAUUAAUUUGAAAUUGCUGCCCGGAUUUAAAAGGUGUGUCUCCAUCAACCUUCUUUUGAUCACUUACAAACUCAUGGGACUCUAAGUAAUUGGGCAACAUGGAGGUGCCCAGGAGGAAUGAGAAAUGAUCCUGCCAUUCCACGGAAUGUGGCACGUAGAAGGCCCACAACAAAUAUGCAGGUGACCUGGACAGCUGGCCAGUGGGGUUCCAGGACUGGCCAUGUGGAGGAAGUCACUGAGUUCCUGCUCAAUGUGUUUACAGUGCAGUAACCAGAAAGAUAGCCAGUGAGAAGGAAGGAUGGGAGCAGAGAGAAAGAGCCAGCUGAGCACAUCAGGGCUCUGAUAAGGAGCCCACUCCCAACUCUUCUUUUCAUGCCACUCACCUCCCUCAGCCACCACUGCAGACCACAUCACUCCAAUUUUUUGCCCUCUCUGUAGCCAUACCCUUUGCCAUGUGCCUGCACAUCUAUCUCCAUUAUAGGCCUGGAGUGUGUUUGAACCAAUGACUUGGGUUCAUCUGUGUGACUUGUGUGACCCAGCAGAAUACAAAGGCAUGAUGUGCACCAGAGGCAAGCCUUGAUCCCAAGAGUACUCAUGCAUUUACAUUUUUCUUCUUGUCCUCUUACCAUCAUCAUGAGCUAAAGGUGCUUAGUAAGUCCCCCUCCUCCUUCUCAGAGGAAAGAGAGACUGAUCAGAGUCAUCUUGGCCAAACCUGUCUAGAUCAUCCAACCCUCUACUGAAACUCAGAAGAGACAUUGCUGUUCUCAGCCACUGAGAUAGGGGUGAUUUGUUAUGCAGCAGCAUUAUGGCAACAGCUGUCUGACACAUCCUUCCCAUGGAUUGCUCAAUUUUCCCCACUCUGCAUGUUUGAGGCAUUCACAUCACCUAUCACAUCCACACCAGCAGCUUCUCUGCUUGCUGUUCUAGUGUUGUUUUCCUAAAACUCUCUAGCACCACCACUGAUCUCUCAGUUGACCGAUGACCCUUAUAUCUAUAUGUCCAUCUUCCUCUGGCCCCUGACCAUCCGGUCAUCCUGACCUCAGCCCCUCACCCUUGUGCUUAGCAUGCAUCCCUCUCUUCUCUCACCUCCUCCCACUGCUUCUGGCCUUGCAGUAUGGGCUGGUGCCCACCUCCUUGCAGGGAGGAAUUUAGAGGUGCUCUGAAAAGGCGUUAUUCAUACAUGAGAUGCUGUCACUGCUGACAGGGUAGGUAGGUUCCCCUGUGGACUCAGUGACCUCCAAUGCCGAGAUCUCCUGGCAGAGGAAG
This 2423-nucleotide long non-coding RNA is filed under the name Fukomys damarensis (Damara mole-rat). RNAcentral describes it as "lncRNA (ENSFDAG00000030718.1)". The record is from RNAcentral. Lineage: Eukaryota; Metazoa; Chordata; Mammalia; Rodentia; Bathyergidae.